This 1179-nucleotide long non-coding RNA is filed under the name Solanum tuberosum (potato). RNAcentral's name for it is "long non-coding RNA (STUB_LNC005005)". The record is from RNAcentral. Lineage: Eukaryota; Viridiplantae; Streptophyta; Magnoliopsida; Solanales; Solanaceae.
UCACAAUCACCAAUUUUAUCCUCAUUUCUCCUAUAAAAACCCCAACUCUAUGCUUCACUUUUAAUCAUAACUACAACAAAAACUUGCUUUUACUCACUAAAUUUCUUUUAUAUCUCAAACAACAAAUUAAGUAAAAAAAAACAUGUCUUGCUGUGGAGGAAGUUGUGGUUGUGGAUCUGGCUGCAAGUGCGGCAGUGGCUGUGGAGGGUAAGUGUUAGAUUAGAGAUUAUUAUUUCACUCCAAUAAUCGACUUUUAUCGAACUUCAAAUUCUCUAUUUCAAGUUGACGUUGAAAUAAUGGACACAAUUGAAAAGCAAACAUAUAUAAUUUUGCAAAUAAAUGAAUAAUAUACAAUAUCUAUCCAAACUUGUUAACAUAUAAAAUGAUCCCUCAACUAAUUAAUGGAGUAGUUAUUAUCUGAGAAAUUGAGUCUAUCGUUCAUCAAUUUGUUACAAUGUUUAUUGUAGAUGUGGUAUGUACCCGGACAUGGAGAAGUCCACCACCUUUACCAUCAUUGAAGGUGUUGCACCUAUCACCAAGUACGUACGACUAUUUUUUGUUGUUGUUUAAAUUGGUAAAUUAAUUAAAGACUAUAUAUAUUUAGAAAUUGGAAGACUAAAUUAAAAAGAUUACUUAAUUGUAAUAUAAAUAAUAUAAUUUUGUAGCUAUGGAAAUGUUGAGGAGAAAGCAGCAGGAGAAGGAUGCAAAUGUGGAUCAAACUGCACUUGUGACCCUUGCAAUUGCUAAGUUGAUGUAUUCAUGUGUGUCUCUACUAAAACUAUGCUUUAAGAGCUUUUAUUUUCUGUAAUAAUAAUGAUAAGACUACGUGUCUUUCUCUAAUUGGUAUAUUUCUGGAGUGUGAUUUGAGGUUGUAACAAAAAUGCAUCAACACAUCAUCUAUAUAUACCAUUUAAGUUUGUUUAAUUUGUAGUUGUUUCUGAAAUAUCUCAUAUUUGUUUCAAUUGCAAUCUUAAUGUGUAAUGAAUUUUGAGAUAUAUAUAUAGUCUAUGUACGAUAAAAGAAAAUUAAAAAAUAUUGAGGGUAGGACGAUAGGUGAUCAAAGGUAAACAAGAGAGGGAGUUACAAAAAAUUCUGGUAGUCAACUGACUAAAAAUUCUCCAAUCCCGUAAGUUUUUACUCGUCACAUUGGAUAUCUUUUGCAUUUUAUUUAUUUUGCAC